AUUGAACGCUGGCGGAAUGCUUUACACAUGCAAGUCGAGCGGCAGCGCGGGGCAACCUGGCGGCGAGCGGCGAACGGGUGAGUAAUACAUCGGAACGUGCCCAGACGUGGGGGAUAGCCGGCGAAAGCCGGAUUAAUACCGCAUACGAUCUACGGAUGAAAGCGGGGGAGUCGCAAGACCUCGCGCGUCUGGAGCGGCCGAUGGCAGAUUAGGUAGUUGGUGGGGUAAAGGCUUACCAAGCCUACGAUCUGUAGCUGGUCUGAGAGGACGACCAGCCACACUGGGACUGAGACACGGCCCAGACUCCUACGGGAGGCAGCAGUGGGGAAUUUUGGACAAUGGGCGCAAGCCUGAUCCAGCCAUUCCGCGUGCAGGAUGAAGGCCCUCGGGUUGUAAACCGCUUUUGUCAGGGAAGAAAUCUUCUGGGUUAAUACCUCGGGAGGAUGACGGUACCUGAAGAUAAGCACCGGCUAACUACGUGCCAGCAGC
Molecule: ribosomal RNA, 489 nt
Filed under: uncultured bacterium
Lineage: Bacteria
Description: bacterial SSU rRNA
Rfam family: Bacterial small subunit ribosomal RNA
Source: RNAcentral